UCCAAUAUGGCAGAAUAAUGCAAUAAAUUUAAGAUUUAUAAAUAAAGAUAUAUCUUUUAUUGGAA
RNAcentral lists this transfer RNA (65 nucleotides) under Mecomma ambulans. RNAcentral describes it as "tRNA-Leu". The record is from RNAcentral. Lineage: Eukaryota; Metazoa; Arthropoda; Insecta; Hemiptera; Miridae.